AAAAAAAAAAAAAAAACAAAAAGGGAAGAAUCGAAAUUAUCAUCUCAUACACAACAUAUCCACACCUACAUGAGUAAGAAAAAUACAAAAUUUCAUGAAUCAACGGUAGUCCACUCAGUCAGACCCAAGAACAUAAACUACGCGGCAACAGAAUGUAUAAAUGAAAACUCAGCUCAUGAAGCAUAACUUUGUAAACUAUCUAUAAUAUGAUAAACACCUAUUAUCUCCUUAAACAAAAAAUACAUCAGCGAUAAUAGAGAAACAACAGAUGAAAUUUCAAAAAGCCAAAACAAAUGUAUUGCUUGAUUUCCAUGAAAUUUAGCAAUAUAUUCAAACUGAAACAUUUUCAAGACCCUUAAUCCAGAAUAUAGAAAACUCUAAAGCAAGGAAAAAGACCAAAAUAAACUUUAGAACAUAACACGCAGCACAAGCUGUCAAAAGGAUUGAUAGACAUUAGUCAAUCAGAAAACUAAAGAUUUUCUGUACCAUGUCCAUAAGCACACUUGAACCAUGUCUUAUUCCAAUUUGACAUCCUAAAAAUGAGGCUUGCUCUCAGCUUAUUCACUAAAUAAUGCACAUGCACCUAACUGACUGAAACAGCUCAGUUUACUUACAGACCUGAGGCCACAAACACGAAUACCAACUGCAUGACACAUGAAAUAUCAUGUUGAUUGCUUGGGUAGCAAAAGAUCACAGCAAAACAAAAAAAUAGAUCCUCAUAGAAUAUUAACAAGGCUAGUAAUUUCUCAACAACUGGAAUUAACUGUAUUCGCUCAUAAGGAAUAUCACAAAGAAAGAAUGAGGGAAGAAAAAGAAAUUUAAGAA
This 825-nucleotide unclassified non-coding RNA is filed under the name Hevea brasiliensis (rubber tree). The record is from RNAcentral. Lineage: Eukaryota; Viridiplantae; Streptophyta; Magnoliopsida; Malpighiales; Euphorbiaceae.